AGACCCGAAACCCGGUGAUCUAGCCAUGGGCAGGUUGAAGGUUGGGUAACACUAACUGGAGGACCGAACCGACUAAUGUUGAAAAAUUAGCGGAUGACCUGUGGCUGGGGGUGAAAGGCCAAUCAAACCGGGAGAUAGCUGGUUCUCCCCGAAAGCUAUUUAGGUAGCGCCUCGUGAAUUCAUCUCCGGGGGUAGAGCACUGUUUCGGCUAGGGGGCCAUCCCGGCUUACCAACCCGAUGCAAACUGCGAAUACCGGAGAAUGUUAUCACGGGAGACACACGGCGGGUGCUAACGUCCGUCGUGAAGAGGGAAACAACCCAGACCGCCAGCUAAGGUCCCAAAGUCAUGGUUAAGUGGGAAACGAUGUGGGAAGGCCCAGACAGCCAGGAUGUUGGCUUAGAAGCAGCCAUCAUUUAAAGAAAGCGUAAUAGCUCACUGGUCGAGUCGGCCUGCGCGGAAGAUGUAACGGGGCUAAACCAUGCACCGAAGCUGCGGCAGCGACACUGUGUGUUGUUGGGUAGGGGAGCGUUCUGUAAGCCUGUGAAGGUGUGUCGU
This 556-nucleotide ribosomal RNA is filed under the name Salmonella enterica. RNAcentral describes it as "partial 23S ribosomal RNA". It matches the Rfam family "Bacterial large subunit ribosomal RNA", at positions 711 to 1264 of the family's 2925-position model. RNAcentral also lists the same sequence under 3 other names. Lineage: Bacteria; Pseudomonadati; Pseudomonadota; Gammaproteobacteria; Enterobacterales; Enterobacteriaceae. The record is from RNAcentral.